Molecule: ribosomal RNA, 507 nt
Filed under: Bacillus sp. (in: firmicutes)
Lineage: Bacteria; Bacillati; Bacillota; Bacilli; Caryophanales; Bacillaceae
Description: bacterial SSU rRNA
Rfam family: Bacterial small subunit ribosomal RNA
Source: RNAcentral
CCCUGAUGUUAGCGGCGGACGGGUGAGUAACACGUGGGUAACCUGCCUGUAAGACUGGGAUAACUCCGGGAAACCGGGGCUAAUACCGGAUGGUUGUUUGAACCGCAUGGUUCAAACAUAAAAGGUGGCUUCGGCUACCACUUACAGAUGGACCCGCGGCGCAUUAGCUAGUUGGUGAGGUAACGGCUCACCAAGGCAACGAUGCGUAGCCGACCUGAGAGGGUGAUCGGCCACACUGGGACUGAGACACGGCCCAGACUCCUACGGGAGGCAGCAGUAGGGAAUCUUCCGCAAUGGACGAAAGUCUGACGGAGCAACGCCGCGUGAGUGAUGAAGGUUUUCGGAUCGUAAAGCUCUGUUGUUAGGGAAGAACAAGUACCGUUCGAAUAGGGCGGUACCUUGACGGUACCUAACCAGAAAGCCACGGCUAACUACGUGCCAGCAGCCGCGGUAAUACGUAGGUGGCAAGCGUUGUCCGGAAUUAUUGGGCGUAAAGGGCUCGCAGGC